This 87-nucleotide non-coding RNA is filed under the name uncultured Phascolarctobacterium sp. Its description in RNAcentral is "TPP riboswitch (THI element)". It matches the Rfam family "TPP riboswitch aptamer (THI element)", at positions 7 to 92 of the family's 105-position model. Rfam says of the family: Vitamin B(1) in its active form thiamin pyrophosphate (TPP) is an essential coenzyme that is synthesised by coupling of pyrimidine and thiazole moieties in bacteria. The previously detected thiamin-regulatory element, thi box was extended, resulting in a new, highly conserved RNA secondary structure, the THI element, which is widely distributed in eubacteria and also occurs in some archaea. Analysis of operon structures identified a large number of new candidate thiamin-regulated genes, mostly transporters, in various prokaryotic organisms. The record is from RNAcentral. Lineage: Bacteria; Bacillati; Bacillota; Negativicutes; Acidaminococcales; Acidaminococcaceae.
AAUCGCUAGGGGCGCAGCUGCAGCUGCUGAGAGGACGGCCGUCCGACCCUUUGAACCUGAUCCGGUUAAGACCGGCGUAGGAAAGCG